AUUGAACGCUGGCGGCAGGCCUAACACAUGCAAGUCGAGCGGAGCGGCGGACGGGUGAGUAAUGCCUAGGAAUCUGCCUGGUAGUGGGGGAUAACGUUCGGAAAUGGGCGCUAUUACCGCUACCUCUCAGAUGAGCCUAGGUCGGAUUAGCUAGUGGGUGGGGGAAAGGCCUACCAAGGCGACGAUCCGUAACUGGUCUGAGAGGAUGAUCAUUCACCAUGGAACUGAGACACGGUCCAGACUCCUACGGGAGGCAGCAGUGGGGAAUAUUGGACAAUGGGCGAAAGCCUGAUCCAGCCAUGCCGCGUGUAUGAAGAAGGUCUUCGGAUUGUAAAGCACUUUAAGUUGGGAGGCGUUACCAGCAGAAUAAGCACCGGCUAACUUCGUGCCAGCAGCCGCGGUAAUAC
This 407-nucleotide ribosomal RNA is filed under the name uncultured bacterium. Its description in RNAcentral is "partial 16S ribosomal RNA". It matches the Rfam family "Bacterial small subunit ribosomal RNA", at positions 30 to 526 of the family's 1533-position model. The record is from RNAcentral.